Molecule: ribosomal RNA, 450 nt
Filed under: uncultured bacterium
Lineage: Bacteria
Description: partial 16S ribosomal RNA
Rfam family: Bacterial small subunit ribosomal RNA
Source: RNAcentral
GUGGGGAAUUUUGGACAAUGUGCGCAAGCCUGAUCCAGCAAUGCCGCGUGCAGGAAGAAGGCCUUCGGGUUGUAAACUGCUUUUGUACGGAACGAAACGGUCCUGGUUAAUACCUGGGGCUAAUGACGGUACCGUAAGAAUAAGCACCGGCUAACUACGUGCCAGCAGCCGCGGUAAUACGUAGGGUGCAAGCGUUAAUCGGAAUUACUGGGCGUAAAGCGUGCGCAGGCGGUUUUGUAAGACAGGCGUGAAAUCCCCGGGCUCAACCUGGGAAUUGCGCUUGUGACUGCAAGGCUGGAGUGCGGCAGAGGGGGAUGGAAUUCCGCGUGUAGCAGUGAAAUGCGUAGAUAUGCGGAGGAACACCGAUGGCGAAGGCAAUCCCCUGGGCCUGCACUGACGCUCAUGCACGAAAGCGUGGGGAGCAAACAGGAUUAGAUACCCCUGUAGUCC